This 547-nucleotide ribosomal RNA is filed under the name Aureobasidium pullulans. RNAcentral describes it as "eukaryotic LSU rRNA". It matches the Rfam family "Eukaryotic large subunit ribosomal RNA", at positions 90 to 652 of the family's 3401-position model. Lineage: Eukaryota; Fungi; Ascomycota; Dothideomycetes; Dothideales; Saccotheciaceae. The record is from RNAcentral.
CGAGUGAAGCGGCAACAGCUCAAAUUUGAAAGCUAGCCUUCGGGUUCGCAUUGUAAUUUGUAGAGGAUGAUUUGGGGAAGCCGCCUGUCUAAGUUCCUUGGAACAGGACGUCAUAGAGGGUGAGAAUCCCGUAUGUGACAGGAAAUGGCACCCUAUGUAAAUCUCCUUCGACGAGUCGAGUUGUUUGGGAAUGCAGCUCUAAAUGGGAGGUAAAUUUCUUCUAAAGCUAAAUAUUGGCGAGAGACCGAUAGCGCACAAGUAGAGUGAUCGAAAGAUGAAAAGCACUUUGGAAAGAGAGUUAAAAAGCACGUGAAAUUGUUGAAAGGGAAGCGCUUGCAAUCAGACUUGUUUAAACUGUUCGGCCGGUCUUCUGACCGGUUUACUCAGUUUGGACAGGCCAGCAUCAGUUUCGGCGGCCGGAUAAAGGCUCUGGGAAUGUGGCCUCCACUUCGGUGGAGGUGUUAUAGCCCAGGGUGUAAUACGGCCAGCCGGGACUGAGGUCCGCGCUUCGGCUAGGAUGCUGGCGUAAUGGUUGUAAGCGACCCGU